This 44-nucleotide non-coding RNA is filed under the name Trypanosoma brucei brucei. The record is from RNAcentral. Lineage: Eukaryota; Euglenozoa; Kinetoplastea; Trypanosomatida; Trypanosomatidae.
ACCAUACAUGAUAUAUACAGUGAACUAUUAGAAUUAUAGGUAAU